GUGGGCUGGAUUGGAAAGGGUGGGAUUUCCAGGCUCUCGCAGAGCUCCGCGUAUUGCUGCCUGUUAACGUCUUGGACCUAUGCGGCUUCAACCACCGAGCAGAGACGGACCGCUUGUGCCAUUCACAGCCACAGAAAGGGCUCCCCCGCACCCCGCAUAUACACGCACCCCGCUGCACGCUGGACGCUUUCUUCUUUUUCUACAUGCGCCUCCGACCGGAAUAAAUAAUUGAGGAAUGUGGAGAAUACAGAAUGCCCAACAGCGCUGGAAAGAGAUUUAAACCCACCAAAUACAUCCCGGUGUCCACUGCUGCCACGCUCCUGGUGGGAUCGACCACUUUAUUUUUCGUCUUCACGUGUCCCUGGUUGAUGAAGGUAAUCUCUCCCGCUGUGCCUCUCUACAAUGGCCUGGUCUUCCUCUUCGUCUUGGCCAACUUCAGCAUGGCAACCUUCAUGGACCCUGGUAUUUACCCCCGAGCUGACGAGGAUGAGGACAAGGACGACGAUUUCCGGGCGCCCCUUUACAAAAACGUGGAGAUCAAAGGCAUUCAGGUCCGGAUGAAGUGGUGUGCCACCUGCCACUUCUACAGGCCGCCCCGCUGCUCACACUGCAGCGUCUGCGACAACUGUGUGGAGGAUUUCGACCAUCACUGUCCCUGGGUGAACAACUGCAUUGGUCGGAGGAACUACCGUUACUUCUUCCUCUUCUUGCUGUCGUUGAGCGUUCACAUGGUGGGAGUCUUUUCCUUCGGCCUCAUAUUUGUCCUCCACCACAGAGAAAAGCUGGGAGGUCUUCACACCACCGUCACCAUGGUGGUGAUGUGCAUAGCGGGGCUGUUCUUCAUCCCGGUUAUGGGCCUCACGGGCUUCCACAUGGUGCUCGUAGCUCGGGGUCGAACAACUAAUGAACAGGUGACGGGCAAGUUUCGUGGGGGAGUAAAUCCAUUCACCAAGGGUUGCUGUGGCAACGUGGAGUACGUCUUAUGCAGUCCGCUGGCUCCCAGGUACGUGUUGGACCCCAGGAAGAGGCCCCACGUCAAAAUCCAGCCCCCGUUUAUCCGACCGGACCUCUCUGACCAGCAGAUCACCAUCAAAGUCAGCGACAACGGCAUGCACAGCACGAUAACGAACUCCAAGUCCAAAAGCAGCAUCGACGGCCUGGACGGCAAAGAAACCCAGCCGCCGCUGCCCCCCAAAGCUGACAGGUACAACCAGCUGAAAGGCCAGCUGACGUCCAGCGAAGAAAGCUCUCUUUCUGGAAAAACCCACCCUUCCACGCCAGCCAUGUACAGAUUCAAGCCAUCCUUUGGCACAAUGCCGAAAGUCCACUACCACACUGCUGGAGAGAAGAUCGUUAUGCCAGAUGGUCGAAAAAAUUCAGCCAUCUUGGAAGAAGGUGUACGAUCCGACUACCGAUCUGAGCCAAACCUCGAUCUGCCCGAGUAUGCCAACGCUCCGCUCCACCGCACUUUCCAGUCCUCACCUCACCAGCUGGAUGCCGAUCCCACCAACUCCCACACGCUCAGCCUGAAGCAAGGUCACCGCCGGCCAGAGAAGGGCCAGCUGCAGGCGCUGCCGCCCCAGACGGUCGCUUCCACUGCAUAUAAGGGUGUUUUCUCUCCGAACACUCUCUCCAACCGUAACGGCAGUCUGUCCUACGACAGCCUGCUCAACCCCAGCAUCUCUCCAGCCAGUGCCAAUGAGUGCAUGGCCCACCGGGGUAUGCCAUCCAUGGGAUUCCAUUCACCCUACCUGCCCACCAAAAUGUGCCACAUCCGGGAAUCUGAGAUCCACAGACAACAGGUUGCUCAAACUUACAGUCCGGUGAUGCCUCCCAGAGGGUUGGGCAGACAAUCCCCUCACCUAAGGGACAGAGAGCCAUCUCCGGUGCGCUAUGAUAACCUCUCCCAAACCAUAAUGGCCUCCAUCCAGGAGAGGAAGGAGAAGGAGGAGAGGGAGAAGCGGCAGAUGCUGCACGGACGCUCCCAGACCCAUAUCUACGUCCAGGACUCUGGCGUGUUCGACGCAGGUUAUGGCCCACCCGCCAACGCCAGCUUCCUAGAUGGACCUCGUGGACACGGGUCUAGAGGCCCGACACCGCCAGCGUACGGUGGCUCCAGGGACAAUCUGAUGGGGGUCGGGCUGGCAAACUACGGCCAAAGAACCCCCGUAUUGCGUCACGCUGGUACCACUCUUGGCCGGGCCCCCAGGACUUCAUCCACCUCCUUACACACAGACCACAGCAGCUCUAACAGCAGCCAGGGCAGGGCCCCCAGCCAUGAAGGCUCCUAUCGCUCCCCCACCCACAAGCCCCGAUCCCCAGCCAUGCCCCGAUCCCCCUCCUACUCCCACCAGAAACUUUCCUACAUCAGCGCUCACGACAGGACAGACUCCCCUCGGUUAGGGGGCCAGAGAGAGGCCAUGAAAGUUAACGGGCAGAUGGACUGCCACCUGAGCCCCAGUCGCCAUGGUAACGUCAAAAAGGUGACGGGUGUCGGAGGCACCACGUACGAAAUAUCUGUGUGAGCGAGGAAAGCACCCUCAGCUUGUUCACAACAACAUCGCCGUGGAGGGGAGAAAUUGUCUUUUGUCCAAUCAGGGCUCGUUAGUACCUGGUGAUAUGAUUUAACUGUCCAAUCAAAGGAACUCAUUGUGUGAGGGUGUCAAAGCAAUACCGUAUGAAUCUGUGGUGAUGGAGAAGAGUAGUAGGGAAAAAAAAAGAAGAAGUGAUGUGUGUGUGAGCGUGAAGGCUUUUGUCGUCAAUAAUUCUGACUCGCCAUCUUGGUUGGUGGAACAGGAAGUCUGGCAGCCUGUCGUGAGGCGGCUGCUCCGGACAUCUGGACCUUGGCAAGAAGACUGCUGCUCGGGUCCGACGUGACAAGAAUUCAUGGUGCUUCACUUUUUCUCCUCCCGUACCGUCCACAUUGUCUUCGGGGGUGUUGUGAUGGACAUCUUAAAGGCUUUGAGAGUCAGCAAGGAAGUUUAGGAAACAUAACAGGAGUGGAAAGAGAAGGUUUUAUUUUCAUCUCGUCUGAUGGUUGCAUUCCAAAUUCAGUUGCUUUUGAUGGAAGAAAGGAAAAGAUAACUUUGUGUUUGUUAAAAAUAUUUUUUCUCAGGAAUUAAUGCAACCAGCAGACAUGCUAGUUGACAUGAAUUCAUAUAUUAUGAAUGUGUUUUUUUCCCUUGAUGUUUAUUGCAGAUUAUUUAGGGCUUUCUUUCCCUCCUUUACCUUCACAAAGGGCGGUGUGGAGCUGUGUGCCCUUGUUUUUCAGAGACUAUCCUACAACACAAGAACUGGGCUGGUAUGUUUGCAUUCUGAAAUCCUAGUAUACCUCAUCACAAUAUUUCUCACAGAUUCCAGAUAAGUUCAGACUUGCACAGCCCCAAGAAAAACUCAUGUUUCAUCAAAUAAAGGAAAAAAAUAUUUACAUGUGAUUUAAAAAUGAGAGUCAAAUAAGGUGUCUUUUUGAUACAAUUUUAGUUUUUUUUUUCCUUUAACAUGCCCAAUCUCUUAAAAACCAUGUUUGAUACAUAUUUUUAUACCUACAUUUUGGUUGAAUUUUAAUGUUUAAAGUGAGGUGCUCCUGGUAGAUAUGCUUAAAAAUUAUGAAAUGAUUUAAUCUUUGCUUGCAGUAGCAUAAUCUAAACCUGAUUAAUUUUUCUGAAAAAUGUAACCUUUAACUUGAGUAUAUUUAUUCAGUUGGGGGUAAAAAAAAAAAGAUCUAAAGAAAUAAAAGUUUUUAAACAUGUGGCACAAGGAGUGCUACUCCUACCAAUCACUUUAAAAGAAAAGUUUUAUUUAGAUUUUGUAAAGCUGAUCAAAGUUUCUAGGAACUGCUGAGUAUUAAUACACGGCACUGAUUUCUUGGAGUAAAUUUAUGACAUUAAAAGACCCAGGCUUGAUGGGGACCUAUAUUUAUCUUGCCACCCUACAGUGAGCAGGGUGACAAGGCAGAUGGUAAAAAUAUUUCCAAAGCUCACUGUGAUGAGAUCUACCGCAAAGACUGGCGUCCUGCUGCCACAAAGUCCCCAUAGCAACUGAAAACAGGUUGCUUGGGAGGGAUGCCAGUAAAAAUGCUUUUCUGUUCCUAACAUCACAAAAGAAAACAUGGAAUUUGCUGUCUUUCUGGUAGAAUAGCUGGAAAGUGAGAUGAGACUAAGAUUGAGCUUUCCAGCAAUACCUCAGGUAGGUUUGGUGUGUAAUAAAUAAUGAAUAUGAGGAAUAGCAACUCAAACCCACUAAAAUACGAUGGUGCGGGGCCUUUUUCUCUUCUGGAAUGCUUUUUGGAACUUGUAUUGGUAUUUUUUUUCCUUACAUACCAGGGACAUUUUAAAUAAAACAUGCAAACUUUGUUGUUCUGUAGAAGGCAAAGUACUAAUAACAGGAGUACCAAUAAAUAUGCCACGUUAGGAUUUUCUUUAAUACAUGUUUUUAUUCUUCAUCUGGAUAACUGUACUCAAAAAAUUACUGUCAAAUUAUGCUACUGUAGCAAAAAAUCAACUUAUUUUAAGGCUUAUUUUUAACACAUCUUUACCAGAGUUGCCAAUAAAUGUGUCCAGGUCUGUAAAUAUAACAUUGCCAUGAAUUCACUAGAUGAAUCAGAUCAUGGACAAUGGGUGAACUGAAAUAUUGCUUGUUUUACGUUGCUGUGCAAGAAUAAGUCUAUGGUCAAUUGUAACUGAUAGAUUUGUGUUGUGGAAAGUAACGUUAAAGUGACAUGACUAGUGAGCGGUCACAUGGUCCUUAUGGUCAAACAUUACAGGUCAAGAAAUGUGCAUGUCAUUAUAGCUGCCUUGAGUUAUCAAUGCCAAACGUGGCCAUACUUCUUGAACACAGCAAACGGGUGACAUCUGCGCUUAAGUAGAGUGGAAAUAAUCGGACUAUUUGCAGAGGCUGUCUGGUACAGCGCAUCGACGUUUUUCUUUGCUGUUGAGAUGUAAAAUCCUGAUGACUUUUCAAAACUGAAAGGCAGAAAUUAAUACAAGCUACAUGUCAGAUUUGUUUGCGCUACAAGAAAAGCCACCGUUGCCUUUUUUUAAUGAAGAAACUGUUUCCUACACAGUUAAGUGUGUCUGAAACACUGCUGAGAGACAAUGAAAUGCAAUCUGUCAAUCAGAUUGAGCAGAAAGUGACUCUGGAGAGCAGUUUGGGCUGGGUGAACCUUUUCAACUGCAAAAGAAUAACAAAUAAACAAAUAGAAAAACAGGGGCGACUCGAACGUGCAAGUUAGGAAACCCCAGUUCCUCUCAUCUGGUUGGUUUAAAUUUCUCUGAAGUUCAAGGCAGAAAAACCAGAGGCUGUGGUAGUCAUUUGCUAAGGUUGAACCUUUACUAACAGUUUGACCAACAUGGUUGCUCUUUAAGGUCUCACCCAGCUGCCUUAAACAAAACGUUCUUGUGAGGCUGUGGUCAACAGGGCUAUUUUGGCAAAUGUGAUGGUUGGGUGAACCAAUAAAAUGUAAUGGUUGUUUUGUUUACUUAACUCCUGUUUGUAAUGACUUUCAAACCCCUGUCUGACCAUGCCUCUGAAUGCAACCAACCAUCAUUCCACCUUAAGGUGACUGCCGUUACGCCAAUGUUCCUUUCCUAGGAUGGACAUCACUGCAGGUCAGGGCCCCAUUCCUGACGGUCGACAACGACCAACCAUUUUGUUUCAAAGACAUAUAUGUAUAAUAGAGAAUACACAAUAGCUGUAUAUGUGUUCCUAUUUUUGUGAAGAGGAAAUAUUCCCAUGACCUGAAAGAAUAAAAUUUCCAACUCUGA
This is an RNA transcript of Poecilia latipinna (sailfin molly), 5762 nucleotides long. It is a transcript of the gene named zDHHC palmitoyltransferase 8b, with no coding region annotated. The transcript is spliced from 12 exons. The record is from RefSeq and is a predicted model, not a curated record. NCBI's taxonomy places the organism in Eukaryota, Metazoa, Chordata, Actinopteri, Cyprinodontiformes, Poeciliidae.